AACGGGGAGGAGCCCAGAGCCUGAAUCAGUGUGUGUGUUAGUGGAAGCGUCUGGAAAGGCGCGCGAUACAGGGUGACAGCCCCGUACACAAAAAUGCACAUGCUGUGAGCUCGAUGAGUAGGGCGGGACACGUGGUAUCCUGUCUGAAUAUGGGGGGACCAUCCUCCAAGGCUAAAUACUCCUGACUGACCGAUAGUGAACCAGUACCGUGAGGGAAAGGCGAAAAGAACCCCGGCGAGGGGAGUGAAAAAGAACCUGAAACCGUGUACGUACAAGCAGUGGGAGCACGCUUAGGCGUGUGACUGCGUACCUUUUGUAUAAUGGGUCAGCGACUUAUAUUCUGUAGCAAGGUUAACCGAAUAGGGGAGCCGAAGGGAAACCGAGUCUUAACUGGGCGUUAAGUUGCAGGGUAUAGACCCGAAACCCGGUGAUCUAGCCAUGGGCAGGUUGAAGGUUGGGUAACACUAACUGGAGGACCGAACCGACUAAUGUUGAAAAAUUAGCGGAUGACUUGUGGCUGGGGGUGAAAGGCCAAUCAAACCGGGAGAUAGCUGGUUCUCCCCGAAAGCUAUUUAGGUAGCGCCUCGUGAAUUCAUCUCCGGGGGUAGAGCACUGUUUCGGCAAGGGGGUCAUCCCGACUUACCAACCCGAUGCAAACUGCGAAUACCGGAGAAUGUUAUCACGGGAGACACACGGCGGGUGCUAACGUCCGUCGUGAAGAGGGAAACAACCCAGACCGCCAGCUAAGGUCCCAAAGUCAUGGUUAAGUGGGAAACGAUGUGGGAAGGCCCAGACAGCCAGGAUGUUGGCUUAGAAGCAGCCAUCAUUUAAAGAAAGCGUAAUAGCUCACUGGUCGAGUCGGCCUGCGCGGAAGAUGUAACGGGGCUAAACCAUGCACCGAAGCUGCGGCAGCGACGCUUAUGCGUUGUUGGGUAGGGGAGCGUUCUGUAAGCCUGUGAAGGUGUGCUGUGAGGCAUGCUGGAGGUAUCAGAAGUGCGAAUGCUGACAUAAGUAACGAUAAAGCGGGUG
RNAcentral lists this ribosomal RNA (1029 nucleotides) under Escherichia coli. RNAcentral's name for it is "partial 23S ribosomal RNA". It matches the Rfam family "Bacterial large subunit ribosomal RNA", at positions 291 to 1323 of the family's 2925-position model. The record is from RNAcentral. Lineage: Bacteria; Pseudomonadati; Pseudomonadota; Gammaproteobacteria; Enterobacterales; Enterobacteriaceae.